AAGUCGAACGGGGAACCUUUUAUUGAAGCUUCGGCAGAUUUAGCUGGUUUCUAGUGGCGGACGGGUGAGUAACGCGUGGGUAACCUGCCUUAUACAGGGGGAUAACAGUCAGAAAUGACUGCUAAUACCGCAUAAGCGCACAGGACCGCAUGGUCCGGUGUGAAAAACUCCGGUGGUAUAAGAUGGACCCGCGUUGGAUUAGCUUGUUGGUGGGGUAACGGCUCACCAAGGCGACGAUCCAUAGCCGGCCUGAGAGGGUGAACGGCCACAUUGGGACUGAGACACGGCCCAGACUCCUACGGGAGGCAGCAGUGGGGAAUAUUGCACAAUGGAGGAAACCCUGAUGCAGCGACGCCGCGUGAAGGAAGAAGUAUCUCGGUAUGUAAACUUCUAUCAGCAGGGAAGAUAGUGACGGUACCUGACUAAGAAGCCCCGGCUAACUACGUGCCAGCAGCCGCGGUAAUACGUAGGGGGCAAGCGUUAUCCGGAUUUACUGGGUGUAAAGGGAGCGUAGACGGACUGGCAAGUCUGAUGUGAAAGGCGGGGGCUCAACCCCUGGACUGCAUUGGGAACUGUUAGUCUUGAGUGCCGGAGAGGUAAGCGGAAUUCCUAGUGUAGCGGUGAAAUGCGUAGAUAUUAGGAGGAAC
RNAcentral lists this ribosomal RNA (647 nucleotides) under uncultured Lachnospiraceae bacterium. RNAcentral describes it as "bacterial SSU rRNA". It matches the Rfam family "Bacterial small subunit ribosomal RNA", at positions 59 to 707 of the family's 1533-position model. The record is from RNAcentral. Lineage: Bacteria; Bacillati; Bacillota; Clostridia; Lachnospirales; Lachnospiraceae.